GCGGUUCUGGCUCAAUUGGUUAGAGCAGCCGACUUCUAAUCGGCGGGUUCCGGGUUCGAGUCCCGGGGACCGUA
This 74-nucleotide transfer RNA is filed under the name Sinosporangium album. RNAcentral's name for it is "Streptosporangineae bacterium 6014 tRNA". It matches the Rfam family "tRNA". Rfam says of the family: Transfer RNA (tRNA) molecules are approximately 80 nucleotides in length. Their secondary structure includes four short double-helical elements and three loops (D, anti-codon, and T loops). The record is from Rfam by way of RNAcentral. Lineage: Bacteria; Bacillati; Actinomycetota; Actinomycetes; Streptosporangiales; Streptosporangiaceae.